GACGAACGCUGGCGGCGUGCUUAACACAUGCAAGUCGAACGGAAAGGCCCUGCUUUUGUGGGGUGCUCGAGUGGCGAACGGGUGAGUAACACGUGAGUAACCUGCCCUUGACUUUGGGAUAACUUCAGGAAACUGGGGCUAAUACCGGAUAGGAGCUCCUGCUGCAUGGUGGGGGUUGGAAAGUUUCGGCGGUUGGGGAUGGACUCGCGGGUUAUCAGCUUGUUGGUGGGGUAGUGGCUUACCAAGGCUUUGACGGGUAGCCGGCCUGAGAGGGUGACCGGCCACCUUGGGACUGAGAUACGGCCCAGACUCCUACGGGAGGCAGCAGUGGGGAAUAUUGCACAAUGGGCGGAAGCCUGACGCAGCAACGCCGCGUGCGGGAUGACGGCCUUCGGGUUGUAAACCGCUUUCGCCUGUGACGAAGCGUGAGUGACGGUAAUGGGUAAAGAAGCACCGGCUAACUACGUG
RNAcentral lists this ribosomal RNA (468 nucleotides) under uncultured bacterium. RNAcentral describes it as "partial 16S ribosomal RNA". It matches the Rfam family "Bacterial small subunit ribosomal RNA", at positions 28 to 507 of the family's 1533-position model. The record is from RNAcentral.